UGGAGGAGGGAGGGUGUGCUGCGCGGCGCUCCGGAGGACACGCACUUGCGCUGCUUUGUCGCUUUCCGUCAACUCUGGUGUUCUGGCUGUUUGCGAGGCCGUGGUGUGUUCAGUGUGGCGUGCGCGCCUUUCUCGAUGAGUCGUGGAGUGUAUUAGGAGGCGCUGGUGAGCGGCUGAGAGGAAAAAAUACCGAGUUUUGGGUGAUAAUAUACCAGGCAGUGAUCCGUUCUGAAGUGGCAAUAGAGUCGAAGUUUCUCAGAGUUGACUGGAUACAUUAUGAUUGGAGAUGGUUAGUGCCAGUGUAGGGUGAGGCUUGUCAGCACACCCCGUCAGGAAUGGUGAAAAGACCGUGAGCAUGGGCUGGUAACAACAGUAUGGUCUCAGGGACUGUGGUGAGCGCCGGCACGGUCUCUCCUCACCACAAGUAUGUGGCGGUCACGCUCAUCACGCACGAAACGCUCACUUUCGCCGUUGAGGUGAAGACCCGAGUCGCGGAGGUCUACAGCCAGGUGUGCUCGUACCUGCAGCAGCUGGGCAUGCAAGACACUGAUCUCUUCGGAUUGGCCACUGUCAUCGGUAAGUGGAGG
Penaeus monodon (black tiger shrimp) is the source of this 587-nucleotide long non-coding RNA. RefSeq lists it as uncharacterized. The record is from RefSeq and is a predicted model, not a curated record. Lineage: Eukaryota; Metazoa; Arthropoda; Malacostraca; Decapoda; Penaeidae. The transcript is spliced from 3 exons.